RNAcentral lists this ribosomal RNA (604 nucleotides) under uncultured Spiroplasma sp. Its description in RNAcentral is "bacterial SSU rRNA". It matches the Rfam family "Bacterial small subunit ribosomal RNA", at positions 129 to 721 of the family's 1533-position model. The record is from RNAcentral. Lineage: Bacteria; Bacillati; Mycoplasmatota; Mollicutes; Entomoplasmatales; Spiroplasmataceae.
CCAUUUAGUGGGGAAUAACUGUUGGAAACGACAGCUAAUACCGCAUAAUAUUGCUGGAUAAUUUCCAGUAAUGAAAGGAGCUUUCAAGCUCCGCUGAUUGAUGAGGAUGCGGCGCAUUAGCUAGUUGGUAGGGUAAUGGCCUACCAAGGCAAUGAUGCGUAGCCGAUCUGAGAGGAUGAACGGCCACAUUGGGACUGAGACACGGCCCAAACUUCUACGGAAGGCAGCAGUAGGGAAUUUUUCACAAUGGGCGAAAGCCUGAUGGAGCAAUGCCGCGUGACUGAUGAAGGUCUUCGGAUUGUAAAGGUCUGUUGUAAGGGAAGAAAUGGUAAAACAGGAAAUGGUUUUAUCUAUGACGGUACCUUACCAGAAAGCCACGGCUAACUAUGUGCCAGCAGCCGCGGUAAUACAUAGGUGGCAAGCGUUAUCCGGAUUUAUUGGGCGUAAAGGGUGCGUAGACGGUUUUGCAAGUCUGAGGUUAAAUUUAGGAGCUCAACUCCUAAUCGCCUUGGAAACUACAAGACUAGAGUAUAGGAGAGGUUAGUGGAAUUCCAUGUGUAGCGGUGGAAUGUGUAGAUAUAUGGAGGAACACCAGUGGCGANNG